UUGGGUUGGCCAAAAAGUUCAUUUGGGUUUUUCCAUAACAUCCUGUGGAAAAACCUGAAUGAACUUUUUGGCUUCCUCA
This 79-nucleotide microRNA precursor is filed under the name Ovis aries (sheep). Its description in RNAcentral is "miRNA (ENSOARG00000023367.1)". Lineage: Eukaryota; Metazoa; Chordata; Mammalia; Artiodactyla; Bovidae. The record is from RNAcentral.